Molecule: ribosomal RNA, 67 nt
Filed under: Arthrinium sp.
Lineage: Eukaryota; Fungi; Ascomycota; Sordariomycetes; Amphisphaeriales; Apiosporaceae
Description: partial 28S ribosomal RNA
Source: RNAcentral
GGUUGACCUCGGAUCAGUAGUGGUUGACCUCGGAUCAGGUAGGAAUACCCGCUGAACUUAAGCAUAU